Molecule: long non-coding RNA, 2490 nt
Organism: Oncorhynchus keta (chum salmon)
Lineage: Eukaryota; Metazoa; Chordata; Actinopteri; Salmoniformes; Salmonidae
Exons: 6
Source: RefSeq, a predicted model, not a curated record
AAUUAAUGUUCAGGGGUCAUGGCUUGGAGAUAGAAGCUGUUUAGAAGCUUCUUGGACCUAGACUUGACGCUCCGGUACCACUUGCAGUGCGGUAGCAGAGAGAACAGUCUGACUAGAGUGGCUGAAGUCCUUGACAAUUUUUAGGGCCUUUCUCUGACACUGCCUGGUAUAGAGGUCCUGGAUGGCAGGAAGCUUGGCCCCAGUGAUGCAAUGGGCCAUUCGCACUACCCUCUGUAGUGCUUUGCGGUUGGAGGUUCGAGCAGUAUCUAUACCAGGCAGUGAUGUGUACCAGUCAGGAUGCUCUCGAUGGUGCAUCUGUAGAACCUUUUGAGGAUCUGAGGACCCAUGCCAAAUCUUUUCAGUCUCCUGAGGGGGAAUAGGUUUUGUCGUGCCCUCUUCACGACUGUCUUGGUGUGCUUGGACCAUGUUAGUUUGUUGGUGAUGUGGACACCAAAGAACGUGAAGCUCUCAACCUGCUCUACUGCUGCCCCGUCACUGAGAAUGAGGGUGUGCUCGGUCCACUUUUUCCUGUUAUCUACAAUCAUCUCCUUUGUCUUGAUCACGUUGAGGGAGAGGAUGUUGGCCUGGCACCACACGGCCAGGUCUCUGACCUCCUCCCUAUAGGCUGUCUCGUCGUUGUCGGUGAUCAGGCCUACCACUGUUGUGUCAUCGGCAAACUUAAUGAUGGUAUUUGAGUCGUGCCUGGCCGUGCAGUCAUGAGUGAACAGGGAGUACAGAAGAGGACUGAGCACGAACCCCUGAGGGGCCCCCGUGUUGAGGAUCAACGUGGUGGAUGUGUUGUUACCUACCCUUACCCCAUGGGGGUGGCCUUCAGGAAGUCCAGGAUCCAGUUGCAGAGGGAGGUGUUUAGUCCCAGAGUCCUUAGCUUAUUGAUGAGCUUUCAGGGCACUAAGGUGUUGAAUGCUGAGCUGUGGUAAAUGUAUAGAAUUUUCACAUAGGUGUUCCUUUUGUCCAGGUGGGAAAGGGCAGUGUGGAGUGCAAUAGAGAUUAGAGCUUGACCAAUUAAUCUGCAUGGCAGAUUGAUUCGGGCCGAUUUCAAGUUUUCAUAACAAUCGGUAAUCUGCUUUUUUUGGACGACGAUUACAUUGCAAUCCACGAGCAGAUUGCGUGGCAGGCUGGAGUGUACUGUGGCUGGAGUGUACUGUGUAACAUCCAGAUUGGGAUUUGCUAGAGUGUACUGUGUUUAUGACAGGUUGCAAUUGGCGUUGGGAUUGGCUGAAGUGUACUGUGUUACUGACGGGUUGGGAUUGGCUGAAGUGUACUGUGUUACUGACGGGUUGGGAUUGGCUGAAGUGUACUGUGUUACUGACGGGUUGGGAUUGGCUGAAGUGUACUGUGUUACUGACGGGUUGGGAUUGGCUGAAGUGUACUGUGUUACUGACGGGUUGGGAUUGGCUGAAGUGUACUGUGUUACUGACUGGUUUGGAUUGGCUGGAGGGAUCACUGACAGGGUAUUGUUGGCUGGAGUGUACUGUGUCACUGACAGGUUGGGAUUGGCUGGAGUGUACUGUGUCACUGACAAGUUGUGAUUGGCUGGAAUGUACUGUGUCACUGACAGGUUGGGAUUGGCUGGAGUGUACUGUGUUAAUGACGUUUUGGGAUACCUGGAGUGUACUGUGUCACUGACAGGUUGUGAUUGGCUGGAGUGUACUGUGUUAAUGACGUUUUGGGAUACCUGGAGUGUACUGUGUCCCUGACAGGUUGUGAUUGGCUGGAGUCUACUGUGUCCCUGACAGGUUGUGAUUGCCUGGAGUCUACUGUGUUACUGACAGGUUGUGAUUGCCUGGAGUCUACUGUGUCACUGACAGGUUGUGAUUGCCUGGAGUCUACUGUGUUACUGACAGGUUGUGAUUGGCUGGAGUCUACUGUGUCACUGACAGGUUGUGAUUGCCUGGAGUCUACUGUGUUACUGACAGGUUGUGAUUGCCUGGAGUCUACUGUGUCACUGACAGGUUGGGAUUGGCUGGAGUCUACUGUGUUACUGACAGGUUGUGAUUGGCUGGAGUCUACUGUGUUACUGACAGGUUGUGAUUGCCUGGAGUCUACUGUGUCACUGACAGGUUGAUUGGCUGGAGUGUACUGUGUCACUGACAGGUUGUGAUUGGCUGGAGUGUACUGUGUUAAUGACAGGUUGUGAUUGGCUGGAGUCUACUGUGUCACUGACAGGUUGUGAUUGGCUGGAGUCUACUGUUUUACUGACAGGUUGUGAUUGCCUGGAGUCUACUGUGUCACUGACAGGUUGUGAUUGGCUGGAGUGUACUGUGUUAAUGACAGGUUGUGAUUGGCUGGAGUCUACUGUGUCACUGACAGGUUGUGAUUGGCUGGAGACUACUGUGUCACUGACAGGUUGUGAUUGCCUGGAGUCUACUGUGUCACUGACAGGUUGUGAUUGCCUGGAGUCUACUGUGUUACUGACAGGUUGUGAUUGGCUGGAGUCUACUGUGUUACUGACAGGUUGUGAUUGCCUGG